UUUUUAGUGGCGAACGGGUGAGUAACACGUAAGUAACCUGCCUUUAAGACGAGGAUAACAACCGGAAGGUUACUAAGACUGGAUAGGAAACAAAAAGGCAUCUUUUUGUUUUUAAAAGACCUUCUUACGAAGGUAUGCUUAAAGAGGGGCUUGCGCCACAUUAGUUAGUUGGUAGAGUAAAAGCCUACCAAGACGAUGAUGUGUAGCUGGACUGAGAGGUUGAACAGCCACAUUGGGACUGAGACACGGCCCAAACUCCUACGGGAGGCAGCAGUAGGGAAUUUUCGGCAAUGGAGGAAACUCUGACCGAGCAACGCCGCGUGAACGAUGAAGUAUUUCGGUAUGUAAAGUUCUUUUAUUGAAGAAGAAAAAGUAGUGGAAAAACUAUAUUGACGUUAUUCAAUGAAUAAGCCCCGGCUAACUAUGUGCCAGCAGCCGCGGUAUCACAUAUUUGUUGGAGCGUUAUCCCUAAUUAGUGGGUUGACACGGCGCGUAUGCUGUUCCAAAACUCUAUCUCUUAUCUUCAGUGCUUACCGCUGUCUUGUAAUGAAGACUGUCAUGACUAGAUUGAUAUAGAAGCGAGCAGAUUUCCAUGUGUAGCGGUAAAAUGUGUAAAUAUAUGGAGGAACACCAGAAGCGUAGGCGGCUUGCUGGGUCUUUACUGACGCUGAGGCACGAAAGCGUGGGUAGCAAACAGGAUUAGAUACCCUGGUAGUCCACGCCGUAAACGAUGAGUACUAAGUGUCGGGGUAAAACUCGGUACUGAAGUUAACACAUUAAGUACUCCGCCUGAGUAGUACGUACGCAAGUAUGAAACUUAAAGGAAUUGACGGGACUCCGCACAAGCGGUGGAUCAUGUUGUUUAAUUCGAAGAUACACGAAAAAUCUUACCAGGUCUUGACAUACUCUGCAAAGCUAUAGAAAUAUAGUGGAGGUUAUCAGGGAUACAGGUGGUGCAUGGUUGUCGUCAGUUCGUGUCGUGAGAUGUUAGGUUAAGUCCUAAAACGAACGCAACCCUUGUCGCUUAAUUGCCAGCACAUAAUGGUGGGGACUUUAACGAGACUGCCAAUUAAACAUUGGAGGAAGGUGAGGAUUACGUCAAAUCAUCAUGCCCCUUAUGAUCUGGGCUACAAACGUGAUACAAUGGCUGUGACAAAGAGUAGCUGAAACGCGAGUUUUUAGCCAAUCUCAAAAAAGCAGUCUCAGUUCGGAUUGAAGUCUGUAACUCGACUUCAUGAAGUUGGAAUCGCUAGUAAUCGCGAAUCAGCAUGUCGCGGUGAAUACGUUCUCGGGGUUUGUACACACCGCCCGUCAAACCACGAAAGUUAGCAAUGCCCGAAAGCAGUAGC
Molecule: ribosomal RNA, 1349 nt
Filed under: Brinjal little leaf phytoplasma
Lineage: Bacteria; Bacillati; Mycoplasmatota; Mollicutes; Acholeplasmatales; Acholeplasmataceae
Description: bacterial SSU rRNA
Rfam family: Bacterial small subunit ribosomal RNA
Source: RNAcentral